This 585-nucleotide ribosomal RNA is filed under the name Magnaporthiopsis cynodontis. RNAcentral describes it as "SSU rRNA". It matches the Rfam family "Eukaryotic small subunit ribosomal RNA", at positions 15 to 604 of the family's 1831-position model. The record is from RNAcentral. Lineage: Eukaryota; Fungi; Ascomycota; Sordariomycetes; Magnaporthales; Magnaporthaceae.
UGCCAGUAGUCAUAUGCUUGUCUUAAAGAUUAAGCCAUGCAUGUCUAAGUAUAAGCAAUUAUACAGCGAAACUGCGAAUGGCUCAUUAAAUCAGUUAUCGUUUAUUUGAUAGUACCUUACUACAUGGAUAACCGUGGUAAUUCUAGAGCUAAUACAUGCUGAAAACCCCGACUUCGGAAGGGGUGUAUUUAUUAGAUUAAAAACCAAUGCCCUCCGGGGCUCACUGGUGAUUCAUGAUAACUUCUCGAAUCGCACGGCCUUGCGCCGGCGAUGGUUCAUUCAAAUUUCUGCCCUAUCAACUUUCGACGGCUGGGUCUUGGCCAGCCGUGGUGACAACGGGUAACGGAGGGUUAGGGCUCGACCCCGGAGAAAACGCCUGAGAAACGGCGUUUACAUCCAAGGAAGGCAGCAGGCGCGCAAAUUACCCAAUGCCGACACGGCGAGGUAGUGACGAGAAAUACUGAUACAGGGCUCUUUUGGGUCUUGUAAUUGGAAUGAGUACAAUUUAAAUCUCUUAACGAGGAACAAUUGGAGGGCAAGUCUGGUGCCAGCAGCCGCGGUAAUUCCAGCUCCAAUAGCGUAUAU